UAUGUUUUAUUUUUAUUUUCAUAGCUGUAAAAAUAUUAUGGACGAAACUUUGUAAUCAAGAGAAGUUUGAUGAAUGAGCCUUUAUAAAAUUUGGUAAAUCUCCAUCUUUUAUUUGAUUUCUUUGUUAGUUUCAUUUUAAUUUUUUUUUUUUAUGUUUCUCAUAAGGGUUUCAUGAUUUGAAACUCAUAUUUUUGUUUCUUUUCCAUUUUCUUCUCCAUAUCUAUAAAAGUUUGUGGAUGAGAUUUUGAAUCUAGAUCCAAUAACAAAUCAGAGAUAUCUAUGUUCAAGAAUGAUCAAAGGGAAUAUGAACUGAUCUAACAAGAAGAGGAUGCAGGUAUAUGUAUCUCUUUCCUUUUUAUUUAUUUUGUUUUAUAUCAAUUUUGUAUCUACAAGGAGAAUAAAUUAAUUUUUCAUGAUUUUUUUUAAGGGAACAACAGAUAAAUGCAGGUACCUCCCAUACUUUUUUAUAUUCACUUUUUAUAUUCUCAAUUAUUUUUCUAUUUUGGUUGUAAGAUUAUUGUUGAUUCUCUCAUUUGCUAAUAUAAUGUAUUAAAUAAAUUGAGGUAUAUUGAUUCUAUUCUGCUUUUGGUUAAGGUUGCUUAGUGCAUCUAAUUGAUUACUAAUUAAAUUCAUUCUAAUUUUUAAGAUAA
Molecule: long non-coding RNA, 650 nt
Organism: Vicia villosa (hairy vetch)
Lineage: Eukaryota; Viridiplantae; Streptophyta; Magnoliopsida; Fabales; Fabaceae
Exons: 2
Source: RefSeq, a predicted model, not a curated record